Molecule: long non-coding RNA, 1805 nt
Organism: Hordeum vulgare subsp. vulgare (domesticated barley)
Lineage: Eukaryota; Viridiplantae; Streptophyta; Magnoliopsida; Poales; Poaceae
Exons: 3
Source: RefSeq, a predicted model, not a curated record
GAUGCUGAGGUACAACCUUUUCCGGUAUAUGUUUCCACUAAUCUUUCCCAGUUAUUCUUAGGCUUCCAUGUAGGAGAGGUUCAUUGUUCUUUUCAAGGUUCGUGUUAUUGAUUUGUCUCGUUUAAAUGGCAUAAGGUGCAAGGAAAUUUCUUUGGAACUAGCUGCAGUUCCAACCGUGUCAUGAAUUUGUGUGUUGCUCCUAUUCCGAAUGGUGACAUGUCGUUAUUGUUGAUGAUUUAGUGCAAUCUUCUGGAACUCUUAGAAAAUGCCAGUUACCAUUCUGUUGCAAUCGAUGACUGGUUUGCUUCCUCUUACAAUUUUUGUUUAAAUUCUAUAGCAUGUUGACUUAUACAGUACAAGACAUACUUCCCUAAAAGUUUGACACGCCAGAGCUCAUUGUGUAACCACUUCCCUAACAUUUUGAUACACAGGAGCUAAUGAUUUCAGCUUCAACGCUCGACUUGUCAAGUCAACAAAUGUUCACUUUCAGCGGGACAGUGGGCGAGAUGAGUGGUUCGACUCCCUUCCCUGGCGCGAGCGACAAUCUCCACCAAGAAGACAUGAAUGUUGCAUCGAGGGUUCGUCAUUAUGUAUGUCCUGAUAAUGAAUUCUUCAGUAAAUAGGUUCAGAGAUGAGGAUCCAGAGAAAAUAUAUCCUCGGUCAUCUUUUUGUGUCAAUAGUAAAGGUGAGAUCCCAAGCUUUCUCUUAUCAUGACCACUGCCCAUGAAUUCGGGUGAUGCCGCCUUAUUGAAAAAAGGUUCAUGAGAGAAGGUAGUCAUUGGUGUUCCUGCCGAGACCAUCAAAUGUCUGUUCAGAAUGGUGAUGUGACUCUCCUUUGGUGACUAUGGCAGUGGAAAAAGGCGCCUAAAAUGUGUUUUGCGAUGUCUGCUUUUGGUUUCAACGUAGGGUUCUGGACUAAUUACUUUCUUGACUAACCUGAAUUCACUUCUUCCAGGGGUGACAUUCAGCUGCAUGACAUAAUCUUGGCACUAUAUCAGUGGCAUCCUUUGCAACAACUGAUAGCUAUAUUCUUGAUACUAAUAUAUUACUGUAUCAGCAACAUGAAUGAAUCAAAUCAAAAUCUUCUUUCAAUAGUAAAUGGUGCUUGUGUUGCAUCUUGUGAAAACCACAAUUACAGUGUUGAUGAAGAAACCAACUCAUCUGAGAUCAAAUCAGCAAACAAGGUAGCAUAUCUUCUAAUUAGGUUUGUAUUCUCCAAGUUUCUUUCAUUCAAUUCUUUAACUUGCACUUUCAGGUUUCAAACAUUUUUAUGGUUGUUCAGAUGAAAAGAAUGGCGAUCAUGAUUUUACUUGUCCUCUCAAUAAUAUGGCACAAAAACCCAAUAAUUGUGCUCGAGAUACAAGAAAAUGGCCAAAAGCAAGCAUCACAGUUUAUGGACCUGACAUGGUUAUCUAUUUAACUUUUGAUAUGAUAUCUUGUGUGGGCUAUAUUCUUCCGCAACAGAGUCACUAGAGAGGACAUCUGAGUUCUUCUUUUGGAAAGUUAUAUGGUCAACUGAUGCAUAUUUAUUGAUCUUUCAAUUUAUUACCAGAUAAUAAUGCCACUUCCGGUAAAUCGUCUUUCGAAACUGGCUCAAGUGAGAUCAAUAUUGAGCACAAGCGGAGAAGAAUUCCAUCAGUUUCAGCAUCAUUACUACUUGGUGGGGUGCUUUUUCUUUUGGAAAUUCUACUGCUUGUUUACUGUGCAAAACCUAUCUUAGGCUUCAUGGGUGUGAAAGCGGCAAAUGUUCCUUCAUGCCAUUUUUUUCCUUUUGAUAUUGUGUACUACUUUAUUUCAGCACAAAU